ACUCCUACGGGAGGCAGCAGUGGGGAAUUUUGGACAAUGGGCGCAAGCCUGAUCCAGCCAUGCCGCGUGAGUGAAGAAGGCCUUCGGGUUGUAAAGCUCUUUCGGCCGGGAAGAAAUCGCGCGCUCUAACAUAGCGCGUGGAUGACGGUACCGGACUAAGAAGCACCGGCUAACUACGUGCCAGCAGCCGCGGUAAUAC
RNAcentral lists this ribosomal RNA (199 nucleotides) under uncultured bacterium. Its description in RNAcentral is "partial 16S ribosomal RNA". It matches the Rfam family "Bacterial small subunit ribosomal RNA", at positions 335 to 526 of the family's 1533-position model. The record is from RNAcentral.